UCCUGGAAACCAAGGUUCUAUGGUUUGGUCCACUUCUUCAUAGUGGAAGGAAUCCUGGGUAUACUGGUCAUCAAUGAAGUGGGACACCAUGCAAUUCAAACAAUUGGUGUCAGGAACUCCAGAAAUAAGGCAAUAUAACUGACCACUAGUUGGUUGAAGAAAAGAGAUGGCCAGAAUGGUUAAAGAUUCAAACAUAAGUGGUGAAAGUCUGGAUUGGAGAAGCAGUUUCAGUUGAAUUCAAAUUGUCAAAAGCUCAGCUAAGUGCAUAGGUUGAAAAGAGUCAUAACUACUUGAUUACAGUUAUGACAUGCUCUAAAAUCCCUCAUAGACAAUUUAACAACUCUAAACGUGAGUUAAAUGACAUUUCUUCUGGCUUCCUUCAUUUAUGUCCUAUAUCACGCAUAAAGGAUGCAUCACUAAUGUCUGUGAAAUUACUGUUCUUCAGGCUUCAUUGUGUCUGUGAUUGACUGAUUCUCUAGCCACAUUGCCCUCUGAUCUCUCUCUUGGACAACAGAUAACACAGCUUACUUUGCAAUCCUGCCUCAUUCGUUUUUGUACUGACUUGUCACACAAAUAGUGCCCAGUUCCAAUAGCAAGGAAUAGGGGGUUGAAAUUGCAAACUGGUUCCUACAUAUGUCCUGACUUGUGUUAGGUGAUGCCAGUCUUUCUUUUUGGGCAUUAGAAUCCACACAUUUUUAUAUUGUCUUACUUUAGGAGCCUUCUUUCAUUCGCAAAUUUAGUAUUAUUUUUCGUACAACCUUCAAGACUUUUACUAUGCUGGAGUUACUUUCCAUCUCUCCCUAGUACACUUAGAUGUUGCAUUUUCAUGUGUUAUUCUUGAACCUUGUAUUGAAACAAUGUCAAGAAAAUAUUCAGUAAAACUGUGGGUUUAUUAAAAACAUUUCAAUCUGCAUGACUUAAAAUAUAUUCAAUCACAACCAAAUAAAACAGUGGGUACAUCAAGUUUAUUUUUGUGCUGAUGUCUAAACUAUUGUCUUUGAAUUUCAUUUACUAUUGAUAGUUUUGCCUAAUCAUGAAUAUUUCAAUUCAAUCUGACUGAAAUAUAUUGCCCUAAUCUUCAUGAAAAACACGAGGUAAAACUAUUUUCUCUCAGAUGUAGAAUUAGUCUCUAUGUUAGUGUUAUCUCUUUCGUGAAAAUUCACUACCUGCUGAAUAUUUCAACUUCAAAAUUGAAACAUUCUUUUGUAAGCAUUAAUGAAAAUAACAGGUACAAUGUAUCUUCAAAUAAUAUUUUCCAGGUCAUUAAUUCCAGUGAACUUCAUCUCACAAAAUCUUAACAUAUCAGUUCAAAUCCAUUGUUUCUAAGUGCAUGUUACUUACUGUUGUGUUCUUUACUUACUUAAUCCAUUUGUGUUAUCCAGCAGUCAUGAAGGACUAUUAUGUUAACAGAUGUGAAAGACAGCACACACAUUUAUUUACAGAUAUUGUCCUAUACACAUAUCACCAUUACACAUCUUCACAUAUUCUAGUAGCAUAUAGCAGAUUGCCUCCGACUGUCACGUAAAUUACUUUGGUAACCUUCUUGGGUUACCUUCCAAAGAUAUAUCGUGGUAGUUAUGGCUCUGUAAUUUGUUGUCAUCUCAGAGUCAUUAGACUAUUUGUUUUUCAUUUCAAGUUUCAUGAAACAAAUAAUCAUUGGUGGAAUUCAGCCAAACAAAGGCUUUUUAGCAAAAAUUCUCAUCAUUCAGGAUUAAUGCUUAUGCUGUUACUGUUGCAGAAUCAGCAUACUUUCCAGUUAUACUCCAUUGUGUUCUUGCCACUCAGCCAAAAUAAAGGGAGUAAUUCUUUUAAAACAUUGGGUGAUGUUUCCGAUCAGAAAAUUAAUUCAAUAGCUCAGGAAGUAAGUGUUGCAGCACCUUUUCAGUUAUUGAUUUUUCAACAACAUAACCAUUCUAGCUUAUGAAAUAAGUCAAGAGACAUUCACAAAAGGUAAUGCUUAUACUGCAAAAUCUCAUCUGAAAGCGAGGCUCACAAAGCCUUUUCAGCUGAAUUUUCAAACUUCUACUUACCAUCUUCAAUUAUUCAAAUUGUUGGUUUAUUAGGUGUUAGGUCUACUCAUUCCAGCUGCCUUAGAUUAAGUAGUUGAGUCAUAAUCGUAGUGUAGUACAUACAUUGUACCUCAUCAUACUAUAUGAGGGAUCAGAAAGAAAAGUUUGCAAUGUUCUUUCAGUUUGAAAAAAGGAAACAUGGAUGAUGAAAACAGUAAUAUAGUUCCUGAUGUGGUUCAAAUGACAAUGUGG
Long non-coding RNA from Limulus polyphemus (Atlantic horseshoe crab), 2261 nucleotides. RefSeq lists it as uncharacterized. The transcript is spliced from 4 exons. The record is from RefSeq and is a predicted model, not a curated record. Lineage: Eukaryota; Metazoa; Arthropoda; Merostomata; Xiphosura; Limulidae.